AGUGAACGCUGGCGGUAUGCCUAACACAUGCAAGUCGAACGGCAGCACAGUAAGAGCUUGCUCUUACGGGUGUCGAGUGGCGGACGGUUGAGGAAUACAUCGGAAUCUACUUUUUCGUGGGGGAUAACGUAGGGAAACUUACGCUAAUACCGCAUACGUCCUACGGGUGAAAGCAGGGGAUGUUCGGACCUUUCGCGAUGGAAUGAGCCGAUGUCGGAUUAGCUAGUUGGCGGGGUAAAGGCCCACCAAGGCGACGAUCCGUAGCUGGUCUGAGAGGAUGAUCAGCCACACUGGAACUGAGACACGGUCCAGACUCCUACGGGAGGCAGCAGUGGGGAAUAUUGGACAAUGGGCGCAAGCCUGAUCCAGCCAUACCGCGUAGGUGCAGAAGGACUUCGGGUUGUAAAGCCAUUUUGUUGGGAAAGAAAAGCAGCAGGUUAAUACCCCGCUGUUCUGACGGUACCCAAAGAAUAAGCACCGGCUAACUCCGUG
Molecule: ribosomal RNA, 492 nt
Filed under: uncultured bacterium
Lineage: Bacteria
Description: partial 16S ribosomal RNA
Rfam family: Bacterial small subunit ribosomal RNA
Source: RNAcentral